CUCGCGGCGUGCCUCAGAAACCGUAUGACUUGAGGGCAGGAGAGGGGAGUGGAAUUCCCGGUGUAGCGGUGAUAUGCGUAGAUAUCGGGAGGAACACCAGUGGCGAAGGCGGCUCUCUGGCCUGUUUCUGACGCUGAGGCGCGAAAGCGUGGGUAGCGAACGGGAUUAGAUACCCCGGUAGUCCACGCCGUAAACGAUGGGUGCUAGGUGUAGGAGGUAUCGACCCCUUCUGUGCCGUAGCUAACACAAUAAGCACC
This 257-nucleotide ribosomal RNA is filed under the name uncultured bacterium. RNAcentral's name for it is "partial 16S ribosomal RNA". It matches the Rfam family "Bacterial small subunit ribosomal RNA", at positions 613 to 868 of the family's 1533-position model. The record is from RNAcentral.